Molecule: non-coding RNA, 199 nt
Organism: Xyrichtys novacula (pearly razorfish)
Lineage: Eukaryota; Metazoa; Chordata; Actinopteri; Labriformes; Labridae
Source: the annotation of a GenBank genome assembly
ACUCAGCAAACAGAAAGAGGCCAGAAAAACGGGUGGUGGCCCAGCAGCCCCACCUUUAACGGAGGCAGAGGAGGCGGGGGGGGGGGGGGGGGAUUUGCAAUCAGACCGGCCGCGAUCGUCGAAGGGGGGGGGGGGCAGCUCCUCUGCCUCCCUUAAAGGUGGGGCUGCUGGGCCACCACCCGUUUUUGUGUUAGUUUAA